AAAGUCGUAACAAGGUCUCCGUUGGUGAACCAGCGGAGGGAUCAUUACAGAGUUACUAAACUCCAACCCCUGUGAACCUUACCUAUAUCGUUGCCUCGGCGUCCGCCGCCGCGCCCCCAUAGCGGGGAGCGGCGACGCCGCCGGGGGUAUCAAACUCUGAUUUUUAGUAUAUCUCUGAGCCUGAAAUAAAUAAAUCAAAACUUUCAACAACGGAUCUCUUGGUUCUG
This 227-nucleotide unclassified non-coding RNA is filed under the name Ascomycota sp. Its description in RNAcentral is "partial contains small subunit ribosomal RNA, internal transcribed spacer 1, and 5.8S ribosomal RNA". The stretch from base 1 to 47 matches the Rfam family "Eukaryotic small subunit ribosomal RNA", at positions 1785 to 1831 of the family's 1831-position model. Lineage: Eukaryota; Fungi; Ascomycota. The record is from RNAcentral.